UACGGAGGGUGCAAGCGUUAUCCGGAUUCACUGGGCUUAAAGGGUGCGUAGGUGGCCAGGUAAGUCAGUGGUGAAAUCUCCGAGCUUAACUCGGAAACUGCCAUUGAUACUAUCUGUCUUGAAUUAUCUGGAGGUGAGCGGAAUAUGUCAUGUAGCGGUGAAAUGCUUAGAUAUGACAUAGAACACCAAUUGCGAAGGCAGCUCACUACGGAUAUAUUGACACUGAGGCACGAAAGCGUGGGGAUCAAACAGG
This 253-nucleotide ribosomal RNA is filed under the name uncultured bacterium. RNAcentral describes it as "partial 16S ribosomal RNA". It matches the Rfam family "Bacterial small subunit ribosomal RNA", at positions 524 to 776 of the family's 1533-position model. The record is from RNAcentral.